RNAcentral lists this long non-coding RNA (1033 nucleotides) under Gallus gallus (chicken). Its description in RNAcentral is "lncRNA (ENSGALG00010000691.1)". Lineage: Eukaryota; Metazoa; Chordata; Aves; Galliformes; Phasianidae. The record is from RNAcentral.
GUGGGGGAAUGGGGGCUCAAUGUGUGGGGCAAUGGGGUGUGGGGUGGGACCCCAUUGGGGGACCCCAUAAACUUUGGGGUUCACCAUAUUGGGGGCUCAAUGUGUGGGGCAGUGGGAUGUGGGGUGGGACCCCAUUGGGAUCCCAUUGGGGGAAUGGGGGCCCAAUGUGUGGGGCAAUGGGGUGUGGGGUGGGACCCCAUUGGGGGACCCCAUAAGGUUUGGGGUUCUCCAUAUGGAGGUCCCAUUGGGAGGGGAAUGGGGUCCCAAUGUGUGGGGUAAUGGGAUAUGGGGUGGGGUGGGACCCCAUUGGGAUCCCAUAGGGGGAGUGGGGGCUCAAUGUGUGGGGCAAUGGGGUGUGGGGUGGGACCCCAUUGGGGGACCCCAUAAGGUUUGGGGAUCACCAUAUUGGGGGCUCAAUGUGUGGGGCAGUGGGGUGUGGGGUGGGACCCCAUUGGGAUCCCAUUGGGGGAAUGGGGGCCCAAUGUGUGGGGCAGUGGGGUGUGGGGUGGGACCCCAUUGGGGGACCCCAUAAGGUUUGGAGUUCUCCAUCAGUGGGGUCCCAGCAGAGGAAUGGGGACCCCAAACUGUGGGGCAAUGGGAUGUGGGGUGGGACCCCAUUGGGAUCCCAUUGGUGGGGGAAUGGGGGCUCAAUGUGUGGGGCAAUGGGGUGUGGGGUGGGACCCCAUUGGGGGACCCCAUAAACUUUGGGGUUCACCAUAUUGGGGGCUCAAUGUGUGGGGUAAUGGGAUGUGGGGUGGGGUGGGACCCCAUUGGGAUCCCAUGGGAGGGGAAUGGGGGCUCAAUGUGUGGGGCAAUGGAGUGUGGGGUGGGACCCCAUUGGGGGACCCCAUAAGGUUUGGGGUUCUCCAUAUGGAGGUCCCAUUGGGAGGGGAAUGGGGUCCCAAUGUGUGGGGUAAUGGGAUAUGGGGUGGGGUGGGACCCCAUUGGGAUCCCAUAGGGGGAGUGGGGGCGAAAUGUGUGGGGCAAUGGGGUGUGGGGUGGGACCCCAUUGGGGGACCCCAUAAGGUUUGGG